UACGACGGGUGCAAACGUUGCUCGGAAUUAUUGGGCGUAAAGCGCACGUAGGCGGCUUGGCAAGUCGGGUGUGAAAUCCCUCGGCUCAACCAAGGAAGUGCAUCCGAAACUGCUGAGCUUGAGUACUUAAGAGGAUCGUGGAAUUCCCGGUGUAGUGGUGAUAUGCGUAGAUAUCGGGAGGAACACCUGUGGCGAAGGCGGCUUUCUGGGCCUGACCUGACGCUGAGACGCGAAAGCGUGGGGAGCGAACCGG
This 253-nucleotide ribosomal RNA is filed under the name uncultured bacterium. Its description in RNAcentral is "partial 16S ribosomal RNA". It matches the Rfam family "Bacterial small subunit ribosomal RNA", at positions 524 to 776 of the family's 1533-position model. The record is from RNAcentral.